AAAAGCUUGAAGGACCAUCUCUGUGAAGUGGUUUUGGUGUUUUAACACUUCAAAGUAAAACAUUGCUAAUUAGUAACUGUAAUGUUUGCAUUGAAGGGUUAAUAACACUUCUAGUUGCCGUCUUCCUGAUAGCCACACAUAACUUUAUAUACCUCCAAACUCAUCUAAAUUAUAUGUUCAGAGAUUUGAUCCCAAUAUCGGUCAUUUAUUGGAAAGGGUGAAUGUUACAAAACAAAAUAUAUUCCCAAAACCGUUUCUAAAAGUCAGUUUGCAUUCGGUUCUUUGUCC
Pelobates cultripes (western spadefoot toad) is the source of this 288-nucleotide non-coding RNA. Lineage: Eukaryota; Metazoa; Chordata; Amphibia; Anura; Pelobatidae. The record is from the annotation of a GenBank genome assembly.